Molecule: long non-coding RNA, 1380 nt
Organism: Tupaia belangeri chinensis (Chinese tree shrew)
Lineage: Eukaryota; Metazoa; Chordata; Mammalia; Scandentia; Tupaiidae
Exons: 3
Source: RefSeq, a predicted model, not a curated record
CUCUGCGAGCAGAUGUUUUACAUUAAGGGAAGACAUAUUUCCUGUGUUUACCUUGGUUUCUCUUUGUUUGUUUGACCUGUCUCUGAACAGGUCAUUCUGAGCACUGACUUCAAGUUCAACUGCCCUGUUUACCUAAGCUCAACUUGUCAAUAUAGAAAAAAGAGAGUGAUCAGAAGGGCUCUUCAGGGUGCAAAAGCAAAAAGAGACAUUGUGAGUGGCUGGAAUAACGACUCCACGUAGACAGCAAUACAACAGUCUGUGAAAAACCAAUGUCAUCAGCUAUACUUCAUCGUCAUACAUGGUUUCUGAUAUUUUAAAUCUCACAAAUGUGACGCAGGAAAUUCUUUCUAGUAUUUGGAACCAAGGGUAUAAAACCGUCACAGAAAGAUUUACACUUUAGAAUGAUGAUACACUUCAUUCCAGGAAGAAUUCUAUCUUUUGGGAGUGUCCUGGUUGAAGCAUGAUUUAGUCCUAAAUUUAAAAAGGAGAGGGCAUGAUUCUUUCACACAGCAGCGUCUCCCCCUCCUGCUGCAGCUUCUCAGAGAGCUGACCGCUCGGUUGCUUGUCGGGACGCCUCUCCUGGGUUCCUGGACGUAAAGGCACCAAUCUGGGUCCCAACCCCUCACUGUCCCAUCGCCCUUUUCUUCCGAAGCCCUCAUCACCACCUGAAUUUCGAUCACGCAGGCUGCUUGUUGACAUAGCUGUUGCCUGCACGUCGCACUCACUGAGCUCCAGGAAGCCGGAGGGGGGGAGGCUUGCUUUGCUCACUGCUGUCCUCACAGCGGCUAGGGCACAGCCUGGCACACUUCGGGCACAGCCUGGCACACUUCAGGAACAGCCUGGCACACUUCGGGCAUCGGAAAUGACUGAACGAGCCAGACCACAGCUUCCAUUCCUCGGGGUCAUGCCUCGGGUCGAGGUGCCUCAGGAGGAAACUCUGAGAUGAAGACGUGCGGGCCGGCAUGCUAGAAGUACCUGUCUUUGAUCUCUUACUGAGCUCCCUAAACUAACACACCAUGCCCAGCAGCGAUGUUUCCAGCUGGGCUGCCCUCAGGAUGGGGCGCUCCCAUUCCACCAGCCCCCGAAUUCCAGACUGUGCUACACGAACUGUGGAGAAAGCGGUGAGGCUCCCCUGCCAGCCGGAAGGCGACAUCGGAACUUCCCUGUUUUGCACGUGGCCGCCAUCACCACCGGACUUUCCCGUCCUUCAUCUGCACGCCGCCAACGUUAAAAAGAACCAGCGAACUUCAUUGGCCAGACGAGGACCCAUGGCGAGCACCUAUUGGACAACGGCACCCACCCUGGGCUGACUCCCCUGGCCUCUGUUGAGACCACGGACCUCAGCCGAGAGCUUUUGGCAGAAUAAAUCAUGCUGGUUUU